GCAUCAGAUUCAAGCAAUCCCUGGGGAUAUUGAUCUCUAUUCCAUAGUGUUUCAGGUAAAAGUAGAUGUUAUGUUAGAAUUUAAAAUAGAAAAUUUUUCAAAUGCAACCUAAUGAACCAAUCCCCAUUGGGUUUUUUUACUUUAGCUGUCUACCACUACCAUUGACUGGCUGAUGAGUCCACACAUCAAGGCUUGGCCACCAUUAACUUCCCCCAGCCUC
RNAcentral lists this long non-coding RNA (220 nucleotides) under Elaeis guineensis (African oil palm). RNAcentral's name for it is "long non-coding RNA (EGUI_LNC054429)". The record is from RNAcentral. Lineage: Eukaryota; Viridiplantae; Streptophyta; Magnoliopsida; Arecales; Arecaceae.